GAUGAAGAACGUAGCGAAAUGCGAUAAGUAAUGCGAAUUGCAGAAUUCCGUGAGUCAUCGAAUCUUUGAACGCACAUUGCGCCCUCUGGUAUUCCGGAGGGCAUGCCUGUUCGAGCGUCAUUUCAACCCUCAAGCACAGCUUGGUGUUGGGACUCGCGUUAAUUCGCGUUCCCCAAAUUGAUUGGCGGUCACGUCGAGCUUCCAUAGCGUAGUAGUAAAACCCUCGUUACUGGUAAUCGUCGCGGCCACGCCGUUAAACCCCAACUUCUGAAUGUUGACCUCGGAUCAGGUAGGAAUACCCGCUGAACUUAAGCAUAUCAAUAAGCGGAGGA
RNAcentral lists this unclassified non-coding RNA (332 nucleotides) under soil metagenome. RNAcentral describes it as "partial contains 5.8S ribosomal RNA, internal transcribed spacer 2, and large subunit ribosomal RNA". The stretch from base 1 to 120 matches the Rfam family "5.8S ribosomal RNA", at positions 35 to 154 of the family's 154-position model. The record is from RNAcentral.